UAUGAUCAUUACUUUAUCAUUUCCCUGAAGUAAUAAUCACCAUAUUAAUCAUUUUGCAACGCAGACGCGGUAGUUCUUCUACCUUAGUGUCUCGGUCUGAUUGCAUUUCCAUGAAGUAAUGAUCAUAAAUGUUCUUCCUUGAGCUGCAUCACCCCGCAGUAGUGCGUAACGGAUUAGCCUGAGGUCUCGAACAAACAAGCGACUGCUGGCAGAGAGUAGGUGAGUUGUGUUUAGUCUCUUUGCUAAAGAAAUUAGGCAAAGCUAAAAAGAUGUUUGGUGGCUAGUGCUAUGCCUGGGAUGUGUACAGUUGAUGAAGUUAGAUGCUGUUCUGAGCAUUAUUUGUGGCUAUAGAGUGGUGUUUUGGUCGAGGUUUGUUUAUGGCUCUUCAGACUGCUGUGGUCGGCAACAUUCAUCUCUCGAGGGGGUGUCUAACUCGGUGUUAUGGUGUGUUUGACCCUAAAUUGAUUUUACACCAGAAUAUCCCUUUAAUGUACAAAAGCUGCAUGUCUGAUUUGUUUUACUGGUUUCUUUGUUUAAAUGUGUGAGUGUGUGUGGUGUGUGAUUGUUUUGUACACAGUAAUGUCCUGUAUAAGGACAAAAACACAUCUUUGCUUCUUCUGGGCGCCCCCUCUCCUCUCCUUUCCUCACCCUCCCUUCCUCCCCCUCCUCGACUCCCUCCCUCUCCCACCUGGCAUAGCUGUCAGCAGUAUGGCUCUGUGCCUUGGCAUCGAACACACCAUCUCUCUGGCACGUCAUCUGGUAGCAAGAAUGAGGUGUGGGACGAAGCCAACUGGGGCUACUCUGAUCAUUGUGGUCGUCCACUCUACGGAAACCCGGAGGGGGGAUUUUCCACCUGUUCAAUGGGAACCUGAAGUGCACCUCCAGGGGCCACCAUAUGCCAUCCAGAUUCAAGCGCUCCACCCAAAGGUCUGUUAAAGGUGAGUCUUUAUUAGUAGCAUAAAUGAAGUUAUAAUAAAACAUCACAAGAACAGCUAAAUAAUCGUGGUAUACCUACAGAUAAACCAACUUAUUCACCAAACGUGUGAUUGAUAGUCAUUUUUCAUACAGACUCACUAUGCUGGAUUCCCUCCCAUCUGACAGCGUCAAUGUCAAAGCAAGAAAAUAUUAAUACCAGUAUUAUUAACAGUGGUUCUGUUGAGUUCAAGAGUCCCAGGAAGCUUUGACAGAGUGACAGCGUGCUACGAUGCACAAAAGAAGGAGCCUGAAAUUGAAGGCACUGCUUCCUACUGUGACAUGUCAAAAUGUCUUCUGUGAAGAAAUCUCAAGGUGUAAAUAUGCUUCAUAAAGCUGCAGGCAAAAACUUUCCUUACUUUCAAACUGCAGCGAAGGUUCAGAGCCACACAAUUUCAUAUAGUGAGAUCUGUCUGAAUGUGUGAUGUUAGUGCUACCAGAUUUAUGGAAGACAAGCCUCAAUCAUCUCCUAUUUAAGAAUAAAUGAGGCCAGACUCGGUAGAGACUGAUAGAGCUAGUAACGUGUAUUGGAGCCAAGACAUAGGCAGAUUGAUAUGGUGCUAGACUCCCUAAAGUGCACAUUUUAUUUAACAGCAAAGAUCUCUCAGGUACCGUCCAAAGCAUGAUAGGUUCUGGUGCCAGCUUGAAAAAUGUUCGUGUUUUGUUCUUUCUCUCUCAGAGAGCCAGGAAUUUACAUCACAUUCCCUCUCUAUAGCAUAAAAUAAAUGUUUUUCAAGCUCCUUUAUAAUAGAAAUGUCAUCUAACAGAAGAAGGUGAAUUUAAUUGACCAGUAUUUUAGUUUCCAAGCUUGACCCAUGUUUCAUUAUGUUACAGUGAAGGAGGCCAGCACCAUGGUUUUACUGCAGCCGGUCAGAAGGGGGAGCUCUAAAAGGUUGGCUUUACCUUUGGGAAGCUGCCAUGAUGUCCAUCACUCAUCAAGUCUAAGGUAUGUUAUGAUCUGUCUUCUGCUUACCUGGAAAGAGCACUUACUUUUAGUGCAGUUUGACAGCGAUGGUAUUAGUGACUGGACAGUAUCAAUGUCGCUUAUCCCAUCAACACCGACUGUCACCAGAUUCUACAGCAAAAAUGAUAAAUCAUAUUUGAUGUGACCACACCUGUAGACAGAAACUUGAUAUCAUUCAAAGAAAUCAAACUUUUUUUUGACACAAUUUGAAGAAAGACAAAGAGCAGAUUUGCUUUUUCAAUAUAAAAUCCCUUACACAAUUUUUAUUCAGGGCAUUUUACUGUAAGAAAUAACUUGAACAUUUGUCAAAUUUAUCAUGAUAUAACAUACAGAAAACCAAGUUUUUUGCUGGAUCCGUGUGAAAUAGCACAUCUACUACCUGUUUGUCAAUCAGUGUUGUGUCUAUGGGCUCUAGUUUAGCUCAGCAGGGGUCCUAUAAACAGAGGCAACACUCUUUGGCUCAUCCAUCUCUCUUACAUGUUAAACUCUUAAGUCUAACUGAAAUCGCACUAAAUCAGGCUCCUCAUAAUCAGACUAACAUACCUAGAUAACUCUGGUUGGCGUUUCUCUUCCAUGCAUACAGAUAAAUCAGACUGAAACUGGUCUAAGCAUUCUGCACACGCUCCAGUGGUUUCACGCCAGGCUUUGAGCUGGAAGUUGAACAGCAUGGAUGCAUUACUUGGAAGCUGAGCAAAGAAAAAAACCUUGACAGAUGAAGAAAAAAAACACAAAAAUUUGUUAUCAGGAUGGAUUCUCCAAGCUGGCAUGAUGUGGUUUAUGGCAACCCCUCUCCUUUCUCCCCACAUUUCUUGUCUCCCUCAAGCUAUUCCAUAAGAAAGGCAAAAAUGCCCCAAAAUAGUGAUAAAAAAUAUACAGUUUUAUACUUGAAUAAAUCCAGGCAGUUACUGGUUCAUUCAUUAGUUGUGGACCACUAUUCUGAAGUCGUGAGUAAGACCUCUCAGCUGCAGCUGUCUGGUUUUCUGGGGGGUCAUAAGUGACCAUAUUUAGAUGAGAGGGGUUGGACACCAAGGUCAACUGAAGCACUUUAAAUUAAUGGAGGUGACUCCUGGCAGAAGACUAGCGUCACCCACCUGUCUCUGAAAGCAGCCAUGUGUUUAUUAUGCAUCCCUUUGAACCACGGUAUAAUUCCAAUGAGUGAGUUAAAUUAACAACCAGUCAUUUGGUAUGAGCGGGUAACUGAGCUACUGAGACAAACACAUUCUGGUACAAGGCUGUAAAAAUGUUUCACUGUGCUCUGUGUUGGACUUUUAAAAACAGAUCUGUGGGGAUUGACUGCUCUCUGAGCCAGCUUCAUUUGGCAGCACCAGGAUCUGCAGUUUUCACCACUUCUGUGUUGGCUUUAUUUUUCAGCCCUGGAGGCUGCUGCUUGGAUACACAUGGUUAUGGUUUUUACUGUUUCCUCUGGCACGUUAAGUAUUGUCUAGUUUUGUAACCUGUGCAGCGGCAGUUUUGGCACAGAUUUUUCUGGGUCUUUGUUAGUUAAACUUUGUUGCUGUAAAAGCUCAUAUUUCCAAAUCUCAAAUGACUGACCUCAUUCAGAAAAGUUACACAGUAUCAGGAGAAGAAUGAGGUGAAGUAUUAUGUUUAUAAGGGAGCCUCCCUGCAGGGAAUUCAGACCCCAUAAUUCUUCCCUGGAAACUGCGAGUACAAUCUUAUUUUUGGAUCUGCAAAUCUUUUUUUCCAUUUAACCCUCAACCUUGAAACAUUCAUCUGUCAUUAAAUUUUACACUCUGUUGUGUAACUCAGGCAACAAUUUCCUCUAUUGUUAUACCGUUCUAUCUUAUCUAAUCUCACCUCAUCUUACCUUAUCUUAUCUUAUCUUUAAAACAAUGUAAGGAGUUUUGAGAUCAUCUCAAACUGAUCCUACCCUUUUGCUGGACAGUUUUGUCAUGCUAGUGUAUAUCUCGACCAAAAGCCAUUUUCUGGACUUGUCGGGUGACUGUGGCUUAAAUUAAGCUUAAUAAAGUGUUUUCUGUUAGAAAUAAGACAAAACACUUGCAAGGAUUUGAGUUUUUGUUUUGUUGUUGUUGUUGUUGUUUUGAAUAAAGAAACUACAAUCAGUCUUUUCUCAGUAGAAGAGCCAAAAAGAUCAAAAGGAUCUAAUAAUUAUGCUUAUGAAUGCAUCACUUGGUUUUGUGUUUGUUUGAGUUGUUGAGACAUUUUAUUGAGAAACCGGAGUACACACGGUGACAGGUGACAUCAAAUUAGUAUAUCAAGUCAUUAUUUCAGGUUGUUAGAAUGACAAAAAUCUGUCAAAAAUGCAAAAUCAAGUUCUCACUUUUCCUCACGUUGAUCCAGUCUAAAUUUCAACCAUAUGGUGAGGGUUAUCAGAUUCAACACUAACAUACAUUUUGAGCAGAGUUUUAGAAAAAAAAGAUAUCACUCCAGGAUUAUGUAUAAUCUGUUUUGUCUUGGAGCAUUUCCCCUCCAUCUAGUGUUUAUGUCUAUAACCAAAAGUCCCUGCAAUAAUGAAGAAUUUCGACUCCCUAAAUCUGCAAAACUGCUCCUCUGCUCUUCAUAAGAGCCGCCUCAAGCUGGGGGAGUGAGUUUUUUAGUCAAAGGAGGGAUCUUUGUUCUGUGCACAGAAGGAAUAGUAAUGUUCCUAAAAGACUUCAAUACAUCAGAGAAAAUGCGUUUUCCAUCAAGUGACUCUGGCAUCCAGCUUAAAAAGCCAAAUACUCUAUCUUGGGGUUAUGAACAGCUUAAUUGGCAGCAUCACUGCAAGUGUCUCACAAGAUGUCAGCAGUGAAAGAGAGGCUACCGGAGCAAACUCCAGGCAUGGUGACAGUGCAGGGAGAAAGUUUCCAUGAGGCACUCUGGGAGCUCAGAGAGCAGUUGGCUUGAUUUCCUGUCAUCACAGGCACAUAAUUACCUCCGACUCGUGUCAAGUGGCAAAAGAACAAAGAGGAGCUCAGCAGUGAAGGAAAAAUUUAGAUCUGUUUCUGAAGUGAAAACUGAAGAACCACAUUAAAAUCGUUUCCAGUGGAAAGAUUAAGCUUUUACAGGGAGCAAUUAAACGAGAUGUUGUUGAAAAAUAAUCCCACCAUCACCAAACCUAUUUAGUGGGUGAUCAUUUUCUUUGAUCUGUGUUCAGACUAAAACUAAUCAUUUCAAAUGUAAUGACAACUUUGAAAGAAAAAGUGAUUCAGGCUCAGACUAACUACAAACUGUGCCUUUGUGCUGCUGCUCAAAACUUCCCCAGUGUACUCUGAAUUCAGUGCUAGAUUAUAACUGGCUCAUCCAUUCAUCGUUCCCUUCAUCCAUCCAUCCCAUCAGGCAUCUGUCUAUCCGUUUAACAUCCAUUCAUUCAUAAAGUAUGCAUCUGUCCAUGGAUCCAUCUGAUAUUGAUGCAUCCACCUUUCUAUCAGCAUGCAUCCAACCAUUCAUGUAUCCAUCCAUUGCUGAGUUUAUCCAUCAAUCCAUGAAUUUCAUCUAUGCAUCCAUCCAUGCAUUCAUUCAUGCAUCCAUCCAUCCAUGGGUUUAUCUCAACAACCAACCAAACCUUGCUUACCUUCAUCCAUGCAUCCAUCAGUCUGUGUAUUUAUCCAAGCAUCUAUCCAUCCAUCCAUCCACCCAUCUAACCAGUCAUAUAGUAUAGAAAUGCAUUCAUCUGCACAUCUCUUUAUCUGUGUAUCCAUUCAUGCAUUCAUCCAUUCAUCCAACCCUCCAUCCAUUUUAGGAUGAAGGUUAGGCUUGAAGCAAUAGCCAAAUAUUGUCCCUCACUUUGCAGCUGCUUGUAUGAGAUAGCUUAUGCUAACCAGGGGUUAUAGGCCCAGUGCAGCAGUUGCUUACUUUUGGAUUAAACAUAAUCUUUUCCAGACAGCUUUCCUUUUAAUCACCUUACUUAUCUUUGUGUCCCCUUAUUUCUAGCUUCUCUUUGUCUGGCACCAGAUCAGCUUGGCGUAAGCUUUAAAUCAUCAAUAUCAACUCCCCAAAAGUGAGUUUCAGAGUGAGCUUCAACGUUUACAAUACAUCACUGAGUCAUACAUCAUAGACCUGAUUAGAUUUUGCUGCAUGCUGAAGAGCACAUCUGUGUUACAUGUGCGCAUAGUGCAAAAACAAAUGGACUUGCUAAUGGUAGAAUUAAGCGCUGAAAAACAGUCUCAGUGGAAUGUGCAUCCUAAGUGAGAUGAGUGCUUGGGUCAGAGUCCUUUUUAAAAUGAACUACAUCAGGUGCUGGACCCUGCUUUGUCUGCAGGAAACUGUAGCCUAGCUUGUGUUCCAGUUCUGUAUUUAUGCAAAUAUUACACUUUAAAGUCUGUGAUAUUUCCAUUUAGUUUGCCCAGUAUUCUCAUUGCUUAUGGAUCUGAGCCUAAUGCACCUCAUUUGGUGAACAGUAUUAUGCUGUCCGCCCUGAGCAGGUUAACAGUCCAUCACAUGGGUUUACUGAUAUCAACAGACAACUGGCAAAGCUGUGAGUCCAGUACAGCUCCACUACAAACCUUUAUUUCUUGCUCAGUCCUCGUUGCUUACUCAGGAGUUGCUGUGUGUGUAGUUUCAUCUUAACUGAGUGGGGCUACGUUAUGUUUAAUAAUUGAAUUUGAGUGUAAACAGAGUACAUUCACAGGUCUUUAAACGCACUGUGGUCCAGGGAUUCAUUCAUCCUGAAUUAACUAGACUGAUAUGAUCUCAUUUAACAUUCCUGUAUCGUCCAAUCGUAUCAGUGACUUAAUAUUCUCUUAACACAACUUCAAGUGUGAAUAUAUUUCUGCUAUAUUUCACCUUCAAAGCCAGCAACCACUCAUCUCCUGGGAGCGUUUGUCACACCACGCUGCACACACGCCUCGAUUUAUACAGCAGCUGGUGCAGUAAAUGUGCUGUAAUUGCACAGUCACACAUGGAUUCGGGUGUGUUCAUACUAUCACACCAAAUCUAUUCAUCUGCGGUCCAUGUGAUAAUGAUGCCUGCCUGAGCGCCAAGCCAGCCCCUCCUAAUUCCCUCUCAGCCCGUCUGCAUGUUAUUUAAGGGUAUUGUUAUCAUGCCCGCUCACUGACUGCAUAUAAGUAUUUGUCCCAUUGUGCUUUGCCUGAUGACUGGCGGAAAUUCUUUGUGUUACAAUCUGAUUGGGCAUCAGGAGUGAUCUCUGCUGUAAUGACCCGUGCUGGGAGGUGUUACAGGAGCAGAUUUGGAGGCGCUAUCCUGUUAACAAGGAGCCUGCUGAGACAAGCUGCGAGCAACACUGCUCCAAGAUGUGUGAUUUCAUGCAAGGCCUCCCAGCGCUAGACAGUUGGUGAUCUGUAUAUCACUUCCUUUUUUUAUUAUUGUUAUUGAAUCAGACACUGAAGAAAAACUGGAGAGCUAGAACCGAGAAACACACCAAAAAUAACCCUUUUUUUAGUUUCUUUCUCUGUGGCUUGAUACCUUUAAAUGAACUGGCCUACUUUUUAUUUUUUUACACCUCUGAAUGCCUCGCGUUUGUUGAAAAAAAAAGUCUGAAAGUGAGGAUGGCUGUUUGGUUUCAGUUAUUCAUGCUGUAUUGACAGACUUUAACACACUGACCCGUGCAUUAGCCUCAUUGAUUUCUCUGACCCCUCUCCCUCAUAUCCAUUUAAUAUGAGCUACAAUACAGUAGGAUUAACCGUUCUGUUAUUUAGCCUUAUGAACCCCGCAUUCAAGCACCCUAAUUUGCUCACAGGCUCAUGGCUUUGGAAAAUGAUUGUGUUUUGUGUGUGAAUGAAUUCUAACAAAUCCUUGUUAAUCAUUGAUAAUUACUGACUGAAAACAAGUGUAUCUCUCACCAGAUAGGUUCAAAUUGUCCUGUAGCUCAUGGAUUUAACUGUUAAAUCAUUAAAGCAACCAUGUCAGAGUUCAGAUGGGCAUAAUUGAUGAUUGUACUGUCUGUCCCUGCUUUUUACAUUCAGAAAAAGACAGACUAACACCAGAUAAUUUGUAACCCAAACCAGAGAGUCAUGGUCCCCAAGUGAGGGAUCCCAAUUUAUGACCGUAAACUCCAGAAUAUCAAUCUAGCUUGAGUCAAAGCGAUGGGAUUAAGCUUGCAAGCAGCCACAGUGUGCCCCCCACUCCCCACUCUAGCAAGGUUUGUUUCUUAUACAGUAGAGAUGUUUUACAGAAUGGGUGUGUAUGUGGCUUCUGGUACUUUUGCAGCCAGCCUCAAGUGGUCACGUGAGGAACUGCAGUUUUUAGCACUUAGAAAAAAGUCACCACCAAGGUCUCAAGUGUGAAACUUGUGUCUUAUAAACCAGAUUUAAUGGGAAGUGAUUUCUCCCCUUUUCCUCUUGUGGCUGAGGUUGUUUAGUGAAACAUCUCUACAACUAUUGAAUAAAUUUAAGAAAAUCAGAUUAUCAUUUAGGUAUCCAUAUUUCAUUCAGCAAAAUGACUCUGGUUAGUUUUUCAUUGCUGCACCAUGAUCAGUUGAUCAAUGUUAGUUUAGCAUAAUUGUCCUACUGAGAAAUGUAGCUCAGAGCAGUGCUGUGGUUAAAUACAGCUUUAUAAAUCUGCUACCAUGGAAGUGGAUUCUUAAUCAUGUUGAAAGAUGACCAAACUGAACAUUAAUACAACUGUUCUACUUAUACUUAACUGUACCCUUUGAAACAACACUACAUGAUUCAUUUUUAACUGAAGCAAAGACCGAUGUCCGUUUUUCCAAAUGCUCAGCUGCAGAUUUUUUCAUUUCUGAUUUGACUGACGUUAUGAGUUAAUGGAAAUGAAGUUCCCAGUGUAGCAAUGUUUGAAAAUUUGAAUGCAAUUUGCAAAUUCAAAAUGUGAAUUACACCCAUCAUGUACACCUGGAUACUGUUCACAGUUCAGACACAGGUAAUAAAUUUACAGUCCAUGCAAAUGACUGUGCUCUUGCUCCAUGACUGAUACCCAUACAGGAAAAAAAAGUGAGCGUUAUUUCCUCUGAAGAACAAAGCAAGAACUAUCCAUCACUGCAGAAAACAACCCGGUUACCUCUCUGCUCCGUAGGCUGCAUGCAGAGUAAUUCUCACGGGGAUGUAUUCCAGACAUAAUGAGAAAGAAACAUCGGGGUAAACAAAUCGACUUUUUUUUUAGCAGGCGAGCCUAAUUACAGGGCAGGAAUAAAUAACUAUUGGAGAGGAGACAGGCUCACUAGUGUAAUGCAUCGUAAUGGACCAUGGGAAGUUAAUGCGUCAUUUUUCUCCCGAGCCUGACGUGUUGUUGUGGUGUACUCGGUUCAGUCUGAAUUCUCUGAUCCUACAGAUGUUUAGCUGCCAUGCCAAACUGCUCUGACUGGGGUUUAUUGUUUUGCAGCCACUUCUGCAAUAAAUCCGUUUUUAACAUCUUUAGAGAAGCAUCUGUUUACCCCUUGUGUGCCAGAGGUGUAACACGACAGCCAUUUCAGCAACAUGUUCCAUCACAGUGAACUGAAAUAUGCAUGUUAACCCACUGUGAGGGGGGAUUUUAACUGGCUAUGCAACAGCCCCAAUUCAAUAUUGAUGUCUCUAUAUGACCUAAAAAGAGUAAACCAGACCAUCAGUUAAAAUAUUGACAAUUUCUAUAUAGUUAUGAAUUCUUGUCACAGUUGAAACUGGGUCAGACGCCAUAAAGUGAUUUACAGCUGGCAGACUAAAAGAGCCGUUGUUUGCAUUUUCAUGGCAAAGUCACACUGUCGUAUUUUAGCCUCUUUAAUGGAGGAAAAUGAUCAUUUCAAGGCACAAAAAGAUGGGAAAUAACAUUAUACUGUAUAUGUCUGCAGGUGCUGCCAAAAUUAUAAUGUAAAAGAUACUUCCAGCUGCUUUUACAUCCCUGUGAAAGAGAGGAGAAACUGAAGGUAGAUGAGCUUGAGAUCUUUUUUGUGUUUUUAAAGCUCCUUGGAGAUGUCUGUAGUUGAGCACUGAUGCUUUUUCAAGGCCUUCUACAGCAAACAAGACCAUCAUAAAGAAAACUGACCAUUUCUCUGCUGCAGUCUUUAAUGCAUAAAUCUGCUGCUGCUGCUGCAGGGUAGGAAGUAUAGAUUUCUACUAUGCUCCAGAAACAGACUACAGUAUUUCAUAGAACAGUCUAACAUGAUACAUUUACAGUUAAAAGAAAGGAGGGUGAGAUUUUUUGUCAGAGACUCUGCAUACAAAUGAACAAGACAGAAUCAGGAAAGAGAUCAGGUAGUGUCUUUUUCCACAGGGGGCGCCAAAAUCAACCCAACCCAAAAGUUUCUUACAGGAGCUUUAAACAGACAAAAUCUCAAACAUGUCUGACUGAAGUGAAGGACCAUCUCAGAUUAAACAGACAUUUCCUCUUCAAAUAGAAAUCAUAUCAAAGUAUCUGACUAUAUUCCCUCCAAUCUAACCUUGGCUGAGCAAAACCUCUGGAUAAGCCACCUGGCCUCUGGUGUUAUAUUUAUAAGAACCAGACCUGCUGAAAAUGUUUCACGACUUUUUUUGAGCACUGAUGAAAAGCCAGCAGAGCGUGUCAUAAAAAGAUGGGUGCAGAGUAUAUCUUAGGGGCAUCGUACAUCUUAAUCAGCUUUCAGAUCCAGUGAGGACUCUUUAUAAAGUUUUCUCACCAAACUUCAAACCACCUCUUCAACCUGUGUCUUCACUAUGAUUCCCAGAAUGCAUUUCUGUAUUGCACACACAGGAUAGAGGAAUGCAACAGUGCUUGAUACCUCACUUAGGUGUGUCAAAUGCGCAUUACAUUUAGAUAUUUUUGAACUCUGUGUGACUGUUGAUUAAGGUUGGACAUUCUCAGGUUUUUUCUGUGUUAACACGGAUUUAAAGUUAUGUUUUUGGUCUUUUACUGUAUUUAUUUAGAGAGGACAGAGCAUGACAUUGGGAGUGACAUGGGACAAAAGGGUCCUGAGCUGCUUUCUUCAGGCAAAACCUCUACACAAGCAGCACCCUCUGUUUUAACUAACGUGAAAUAAAAACAGAACAAAACAAUGAAAGAGAUCUUCUCUUUUCAUAUAUUCCCUAUUCUCAAUAAGAUAUUCCUGUUCAUACUUGGGUUAACCAAGCUUUAGACUAUCUGUUACUGUUUUUAUUCCUAAUUUUCCAUCAUUCUAAAUACUGCAAGCAGAAAAACAUCUUAUUUAUACACACUAAAGUUGAGAAAUGAGGAAUUUAUCCUGACAGCGGGUAGGUUGUCAAUGUUUGGUAAAGUGAUGAUAUUGCUGGCACUGGCAGCAAUUUAAAGACGCUUUGAAAAACAGCCUCAGAGUUUUUCAUUAAACACUGUUUGAACCACUGACUGUCUAUAGAGUGAGCGAUGCACCUUUAUUUGCAGCAACAGUGAGUUUUGAAGCCAAAAUAAUAUGAACAAUAACAUAUCGCACUGGUAGAGCCAAUAUCGCUGGUGUAGCUGCAGGACUGAUGUCACACCCUUACAGUUACAAUCAUGGCUGUGGAAAGCUCUGUGACUUUUGUGUUAGUGUUUGUGAUGUUUCCUCUCACUGUUCCUCUUUAAGAGGAACUAUUGUAGGAGCCAGAAUUUGUCAGCAGAGCUGCUAAUCUGUAUCCACUUUAACAUAAAAAAAACUCAACAGAACCAAAUAUAUGAGAAUAAUGAACACUUGCAUAAAAAGUAGCAUAAUGAAAACGUAGUUUGUUUGACAGAAAGCACAUUUGAAAAGGAUUUAUUUAAUGUGCAUUUUCAUUAUUGAGUUUGGGCCAUAUUUAAUCACUUAUAAUGGAAGUGUUAUAUUGCAGCCAGUCAGCAGGGGGAGCUCCAACAGUUUUGCUCCACACUCUGACUCUGCACAUGUCGUUCACAGUCUGUAAUUUCAACUUCAAAUAUAAACAGAAAGUCAUAGUCUGCACACCAGGAGCUGCCUCAAUGUGAAUUUAAUGAAAAGCAUCACCACAUGUGAUGAUCAUCAGACAUGUCUGAUGAGGGGAAACGACCCAAAACAAGUUUCUGUCCUGAACUGAGCUAUUGAAGUUUCAGAUGUGCAUGCUACUUCUUUAUUGCUUUUUUUUUUUAAAUUAAAAUACGGCUUCCCUCAGGUUUUCAUUAUUUACUCUUCUCAGUUGUUCAUCAUUUGAGAAGCAAUUUCCAACGUUUCUGCAUUUAACAAACUUGAAACUCAGGGAUGUGGCACCAUCUGAGCCUUCCACUCUUGGAAUGAUGACAGAAUAAUAAAAAUAAUAACUUUAUUUUUAUAGAGCCUUUAAAAACAGACGUUUACAGAGUGUUUAGACAGACAAAGCAAAGGCAGGCACUCAGGAAGAUAACAGAGUAAAUAUUUAAUAGUCAGGGCAAACAGAAAGAAGUUAAAGAUGACAAAAGGUAAGAGAAAAAUGCGACACGAAAGGUAAAUGAGUAUAAACACAAAUAAAAAGAUUAAAUGUGAUAGAACAGAAAGCUCUGGAAAGGCAGUUAAAGCAAUGGAGCGAUACAAAUAAAGAGAUCAAUAAGAGAAGAGAGGCAAUGAGCCACAGAACGAUCAUAAGAGGACAACAUCACAUCAGCAGAAAUCAAAACAGAAAAAAAGAUCUGAAGCAUUGAGAAAAAAAGAGGAUAAACAAAAGAAAUAAAAAUGUAAGAAAUAAAAGGCAGUGAGAUUAUGAAAUCCUUAAAAGACAGAGGAACAGAUGAAGAGAUUAAGAGCAGCAAAACGGAUGAAUGAAAAGAGAAAUUAUGAAUGCAUUUAAAAAGGUGAACUCUCAUAAAAGCAGGUCUGCAAAAGUGAGUUUUAAGAUGGCUGAUUUUGCAUGUUUUAUCUCUUAUCUCAGGCACAUAAAGCCCACAGCCAAGGGACCCUGACAGCAUUAUCAGAGCUCCCUUUAGAUUUAAGGUUCUGACUUUGGGACAGCCAUAUCAGCGUCGUAUAAAGAUGUGAUGUUUUGAGACAGCUGACAGAGGACGAUGACUGUUGUGAGAAAGAAGUGAGUUUGCAGUUCUCCCCACAUCUUGUAUUUGUUAAACCAGGUUUUAUAACUGCAGAAAACCCAUCAGCAAACAAUAAGAUUCAAGGACCAACCCUGACGUUCUCACUGGGUCAUUUGUUUGCACUUUCACCGGUCAUAUGAUUCACAAAUACAGGAAAAACACAAAGGCAUGUUUAGACAGUGACUGUUGUCCCCUCUCUGUCUCCCCCCCUCACUUCGGUCAGAGCAUGGAUGCUCUUCUUGACAGAUGAGGUGGAGAAGGGGGAAAAAAAACCCAAACUGAAUAUUCCUCUCUCUGUAAUCGUUUCAAUCUGCUCUGCCAGAACAGAUUGUGGUCUUUUGCUUCCCUGUUGGAGGCCUGUGUACAUCUCCUCCCUCUCGUUCUUAUUCUCCCUCUCCCUCUCCAUUUUUUCCCAUUAUUGCAAUAUGGCACUCUCCAUUUCAUUGUCAGUCUGGGCACAAGGCUGUAGUGUGGACUCCAUAUAUUAUGCCCAAAGCCUACUGACCACCUCCCUGGUGGAGGUGUAUGAUCAUCCAUCAUGGAUAAAACAUUACAGUGCCCCCAUUUGUCUACAAGUGGGCAGGGGAGGGAAAGGAAAUAUGUUAGUAAAAUUGCCCACCUAGUAUCAAAAUGAAACUCUUAAGGAUACCUCUACCCUAUUUUUCUGGGCAAAUUGAAUGCAUUUUUCUGGACUGAGGGAGCGUGGAGCAUGCAAGAUUAGGUGCUUCUUUUUAUUUCGUAUUUUCCAGUGAUCCCCCAGCCCCGUUUAAAGACCCACAGUCAGUGUUGAUUGAGAGAGCCCUCAUAAGUGGCCACGGCAAUUCCAACAACAACAACAGUCGACCUCCUCUGGCAGGAAGAAGGCCCUUAACCACAAGAGCCGGGGCUGGAGGAGGAGGGGGGAGGAGGUGGGAGGUGAGCCAGGAGGAAGGCAGCUUGCGGUCAUACAUCUUGGGAAGGCUGCAUGUGUUGCCCAGACAGCCCCUUAAGUGACUUCACCUCAUCUCAAUGGUGCUCAUUACGUGCCAUAGAAAGCCAUCCAUUCAGGGCGGCAGUAUAAAACAAACCGAGCCCAUCUGGAGAGAGCACACGAGGAUGUCAACACAGGCUUAGGAAAUUGAUUGGGUUGUGUAGGAUGCUGUGAAUGAUAGGGGGUUAUUGUACAUCUCAUUAUUUAUUGGCAGCCUUACAUUUUUACACGCUCAACUCCAUAGUGUCACAAUUACGGCUGCAUAUUUUCAAUCUCAGUGUAUCAACAAGGUUCCCACACAGUCUCUUAAACUAUCCUCAGAGCCAGAAACGAUGCACCCACAGUCGGCUUUUUAGAAAGUUUUCCAACAGCUAUAAUUCAGAUUGGCAUCAUGGCAAAGUCCACACAGUUUUUGCUUUCUCUCUCCCUCUCUCUCUCUCUCAGUCAGUCAGGAAGUGGACUAAAAUCUUUACUUUGAAUGCUGAAGUUUAAAACCACUGAAACAAUUUUCUUUUAAUCAACAUACCAACAAUUUGACAUCACACAGGAAAGCAGCAGAUGAAAUUAGACCGACCAUUUUCAUUCAUCAGACGUCAGGCUGGGUAUGCUGUUAAAAUGUCAGUGCAUUUUGUUCCAGGUAGUUAAUCAUGUAAAUUUAAGUGGUUAGACCAGUAUUGUGGCUGAGUCACUCAAGUCCAGGUCCAAGUUGAGUCAUCAGAGAAGAAUCUGAGUCGAGUUCCCAUUGCCUGAGGUUUUAAAAUAGAAAAGCGUUGCUUUACGCCACACUUUUCACUCAAUGAACCAUGACUGACUUUUAUCAUCAUCGAAUUCUGAGUGAUCCUGUUGUUGUGUCAGAAAAUUGAAGUUGAAUGGAUGUGAAUGGAAAACUCACCAAUGGCCUGGUGGUCUAAGCACCCCAUGUAUAAAGGCAAUAGUCUUUGGAGCGGCACAUGACCUCAUAAACUUUACUAAUUGAUGCAAUUCACUUACAUAUCCUUAUUUAACUGUAAUAAUAUUACAAUCUGCCCCAUAACUGAAACUUCUUUGGAGAGGACAUUGCCUCUUUAUGGAUUGUCUGUCAUACUUUUAUUAAGAUUUUUUUUUUCUUGCUUUUAUGUCGCCUCAUAUCUGCAUUAUCAAACUAUGCUUUUAUUUUGAAGUUUGGUGGAUUUUAAAAUCCAGAACUGAAAGAAGACUGUUUAAAGAGCGGUUAGAUCAUAUCAAUGGCCGAUUGAUUUGUAACCCCAGGAGAUACAAGCUCUAACCUUGUUUUUGAAUUCACAAUAAAACCUGAACAUCGGUUUAUAAAAGAAGGUUGUUUCAGCUAGCCUGUUGCAGUCUACUACUUCUUCUUCAUCUAUCCUAGGUCUUAUCAUGCAUUGCAACCAGCAUAAAAGACUAUUUUUAUGAACUCAUGUUAUUACAGUAAGCUUAUUUAUCAUCAAUACUGGUAUAUAGUGACAACCCUAGCUGCUAACUCUACUGUUAGCAUACUAGCAGUAUCUGCUACAGUCUGAGUUUGUUGUGGUAUUCGCUUCAAUGUUUCAUUUGUAUAGUUUAACAUAUCAAACAUACUGAACUUCUCAUCCUUGUACGUUCUUAAAUCUCUGAAGGCAAAACUCACGACUGUCACCUUUGCUGGCAGCUUAGCAGGAACCUGACAGCAGCUCUCAAUAGAUUUAUCCAAGUGUCCAAAUGCUGUCAAUUUACAUGUCCAGAUGGACUCAUAGUUAUUAAAGAAUCAGGCCUCAGGUUGGGCUAAAGUACCAAAGCACUAGUUGAUGCAUAUCCUUUUUUCUCAGUUGAGUAACAUCAACAUGAACAAGAGUGAAUAUCUGAAGGAGCAUUUGAUCUUAGCUCCAGUUAAAUCCUUUGAAAGUCAGUUAUCUACAUUUGAGCAGCUAACUUAAGCUUUUAACCACAAAAUUAGCAAUGAGGCAGUUUUGUGAACAGUCUAGUUCUGUUGCAAAAUAAAAAAAAAGAGGAACAAUUUCCUGGUCAAUAUUUUUAGGACUAAACAUAGAAUAAGACAAUCAGCCAUUGAGUUCUCCACUCUGAGUGUGCAGUCAGAGUAAAGAGGCCUCUGUGAAUGUAGUCAGCUGAUGCAGAGAGAGAUUCUCUUUGCAACCAGAUGCCAAACACUUGUUAGCGUUUUCUUGAAAAUGAAAUAACAACAUUGGUUAUUCACCACCAGUACUUCCAAAAAAGUUGCUAAAGGUUGUUUUGAAAAUGCAUCCGUUAAAUUUUCUUAAUGCGUUUUAUCAGAUACCAAAAGCAGAUUAAAUCAGACCCACAAUGGCUGUCACAUUUUUGAGCUUAAAGGAUUAUUCAGUCUUGUCAACAUGUGGCCACGUCUUUGUUUAAUUAGAGCUCUGCUGACGUUAGAAAAGCCAAAAAAGAAAAAAAAGGGGGCUGGGUUGAACCAGUCUGCAGAGCAGGUGUCCUAGUUGCAGAGGUAAAGUCCUUCUUUCACUGGAUUUUAGUUUGACUGCUGCUCUUUAACCAUUUGGUGCAUGUCGUAUCAAAGCAAAGAUAAACACACCAACAGUACGACUCAUUUUUCAAAGCCUCUAAUUUGAAACACUUAAUUUUGUCACUGUGUUGCAUAUUUUGUAUUUCAAAUUGCAGGCACAGAUCUUACAAAGUCUUUAAAUAUUUGCUCAUAAAUCAAGUGUCUCCACAGUUGGCCUCUUGGAAAGUAUUUCAAUGGAUGUUACUCAAAGCAGGGCACCAUGGCAAAGUCCACGCAGCAUUGAGUAUUCAUUUUGAAGCCCGUGUUUACGUUGCUUGGCUUGGUAGCCUAGCGCCUCGGAGCAGCGGGCUCCUGCUGAGAUGAAGCUGCUGCUUUCACAAGAUGGAGUCAAACACAGAAGAGGAGGCGAGAACAUAGGGAGCGAAAACGGGCAGAAAACUCUUGAAGCUGCAUUAUCUUCCACUUUCAAAUUCAUUUAAAAUGCCAGGUUUGACAAAUUACACCUUUCCUCCGCCUAAUAUCUCCCUGUAACUGCCUUUUUUUUCUUCCACACAUUACUAUUUAAUGUACAUGUGCAGCUUUUUGAGUGCAGGAAGUGUCCAGCUAAUGAAGCAGAGCUGGAGUCACUCACGCCUGCCUGUGGAAUCAGCACGGACACUGAAUUGCACCAUGUGAACUGCAGCAGGGUGAACAGACUCAGCCAACCAAGAGCUACCGGCCUUAAUCGCUGUGAUUUAAAUUUCUGUUCCUUUCAUUAGGAAGCAUUGACAUUUUAAGCACACCUGUACGCUGCUGUCACUGAAUAACCUUUAAGAAGAAGAGAGAUGUGUCGCUCUUCUGAGGAGACAAAAGCCCAGAAGGAAAUUUACACUGACACACUCAGUCUUCUGUUGUGUACCUUAUAAUUCAAACCAACUGAAAAAGAAAAACUAAAAAACAAAAGAAAGUAUAAAAGAGAGUAUGUUCAGACUGUUUGUGCACCAUGCUCAACACUUUCAUCUUCAUGUUUCUGUUUAAAUUCAACAUUUAUUGUAAGGUGUUUUCAAGUUUUUGAUGUGCCUUCAGACAAGCUCUCAUUCAUGUGGUUUCUUAAAAAAAAAGCAUCUCAAGUUUUUAACCACAUUGUGUACCAUGAAUUGAGCUGUUAGGGACCCCAAAGGCGAAUAGAGGUGUAUAAAACAUGUGCUGCUCAUAAGAAGAGUCCUUAACUGGAUGAAACUAAAUUAAAAAUGCAUAUUAGUUUCUGCGCCAUUUAGUCAUGCGUAUGAGAUGUACUCACAGGUUUCACAUCCUUUCUGGUUACUUCCAGCCCACAGUUCUGCUCCUUCUGUUAAUGCAAUUCAGCACAUGUGUCCAUAUUUCCAUACCAUGCUUGAGUAUGUGGUUUUAAUUUGUGGGAACAUAUGUUUUCAUUAUGGCAAUUGGUGUAUGAAAUAAUGUUGCUUUUUUUUUUUUUUUUCCCAGAAAUGCACCUGCAGUUGGGCAUAAGGAGAUCGGGCCUCUUUGGAGUUAAUGUUGCCUUCAAAAGGACAUCAAAGUGAUGAUUUCCAGACUUCCACGAGCUGAACUUUACUGAAAUCUACACUGAUGUGUGUUUUUUUUACAAGUUACACAACUGCUACAACUGUGUGGCCUCCAGACCAUCAACUCUAAACAGUGAUUCAUAAUUCCUGUUAACGCUGGCACACAGUUGGAUUUAGUGUAUUAAGCAUUCUGACCAAAGCAAGUUUGAUGAAAGUAUUGUUUUCUGCUUUUUCUAGCAGCUGCCUUUCAUCAUAGUAUGUAAGGGAUAAUGGGCAGUGACAAGGUUGUUUUAGUUGCUUGAAUCCCGAAAAGGUCUGAAAGGGUUCCUCUAUCAGAUCAGCCAGUUCACUUUACAUCCUGUUAAUAACACUGCUACAUAAAAUCAAAACAUUAAUACCAAAUGUUGAUGUGGAAAUAAUUUAGUCAAUUUCAAAAUGGUUCCAAGUUGUCUGUUACACUCACAUUUUGGGCUCCAUCCAUUUUAAGUGUUAAUUCAACAGCCCUCAGAAAAUGAGCUAACAUUUAUGUUAUUACCAACCUGAAACUGAAUAUUUGCACUGAUGGUGAAGAGAAACAAGGUGAGCAGGAUCACAUGAGUCAGUGCCACACCUGAUGGAGUUUUCCUGGCUCAUCACAGUCAUAGUCAGCAUUUCUUUUCCAUUUAUCAUACCUUCAAACGCCUCCCAUAGC
This 18420-nucleotide long non-coding RNA is filed under the name Xyrichtys novacula (pearly razorfish). Lineage: Eukaryota; Metazoa; Chordata; Actinopteri; Labriformes; Labridae. The record is from RNAcentral.